AGUGAACGCUGGCGGUAGGCCUAACACAUGCAAGUCGAACGGCAGCACAGUAAGAGCUUGCUCUUACGGGUGGCGAGUGGCGGACGGGUGAGGAAGACAUCGGAAUCUACUUUUUCGUGGGGGGUAACGUAGGGAAACUUACGCUAAUACCGCAUACGACCGACGGGUGAAAGCCGGGGAUCUGUGGGCCUGGCGGGAUUGAAUGAGUCGAUGUCGGAUUAGCUAGUUGGCGGGGUAAAGGCCCACCAAGGCGACGAUCCGUAGCUGGUCUGAGAGGAUGAUCAGCCACACUGGAACUGAGACACGGUCCAGACUCCUACGGGAGGCAGCAGUGGGGAAUAUUGGACAAUGGGCGCAAGCCUGAUCCAGCCAUACCGCGUGGGUGAAGAAGGCCUUCGGGUUGUAAAGCCCUUUUGUUGGGAAAGAAAAGCAGCAGGUUAAUACCCCGCUGUUCUGACGGUACCCAAAGAAUAAGCACCGGCUAACUUCGUG
RNAcentral lists this ribosomal RNA (492 nucleotides) under uncultured bacterium. RNAcentral's name for it is "partial 16S ribosomal RNA". It matches the Rfam family "Bacterial small subunit ribosomal RNA", at positions 29 to 507 of the family's 1533-position model. The record is from RNAcentral.